Molecule: long non-coding RNA, 1135 nt
Organism: Eleginops maclovinus (Patagonian blennie)
Lineage: Eukaryota; Metazoa; Chordata; Actinopteri; Perciformes; Eleginopidae
Exons: 3
Source: RefSeq, a predicted model, not a curated record
AGGGGCCUGAGGGGGAGAUGAAAAGAGGAUACAAGGAGGAAGGAGUCAAUAAGGAAAGGAGUGAGGAGAGCAGGUGAUGAGGCAAGGAGGAAGAGGAGGUGAAUCGAGGCAAAACAAGGAGGGAAGAGAAGAGACAGAGUGGGAAGGGAGGUGAACAGUAAACAAGGAUGUAGAAAAGGAGGCAAGUAGUGAGGAAAGGAAGCAAGGUGAGAGGAGAGGAAGGACGGAUGGGGAGGAGAGGAGAGGAGAAAAGGAUGGAGAGGAAACAAAUAGAGAGAUAUAGAGGGAGGAAACGAGUGAAAAAGGGAGGAAGGGUCACAAGGUGACAGGAGAGAAAGUAAGGAGGGAGGGUUGAGGAAAAGCAGAAGAGAGGAGACGAGGAGGGGGAAAGUAUGAAAGACCACCUACUUGUCCUGACGCUCCUCAUGAUUGGCUCGCUCCUGACCAAAGGCCCGGCCCUGGCUCCGCCCCCGCUGACGGUUGCCACGGUGAAGUUGUACUGUCGGCCUGGAAACAUCCCGCUCAGCACGCGGCCGGUCAGCUGGACCUGAGUGAUUGACAGGCGGUCCGGAGGCGCCCACUGCAGAUUGAAGCUGUCAAAGUCUCCGGAGGCGGGACCUGACCAGGACAACUCCAGCGUCUGAUUGGUCGAGCCUUGUUUGACGGACAGGUGGGUGGGCGGCUGAGGAGCUGGAAGAAAUAAAAUAUAUGAACUGUUGAAUUUAAAACUUUAUGGCUUUUAAUUUUAAAUACGGCAUGUCAUUUUGGUUGUGUUGGUGCAUAAAUCUUCCCUCUGUAUUUGUGUUUAUUUGUUUGUGUUUUCACGUGACAUACCGGUGCGCCCGAGCGCUGACACGUUAUUGGUCAUUUCUCCGCUGUGAGUGAUGACAUCAGCGCGGUACAGCCUACCAGCAACGAGCCCCGAGAACAUUUGACUGCUGAGAGUGACAGGUGGUAGACGUCCACGUGUCCAUCAGACGGACGCCACGAGAAGGAGAGCGAAGACGAGUUCUGGGACGACACCGUGAGGUUACUGACCGCCGCUGGACCUGAACCACAGAGGCUAUUCUUCACUCAAUAUGUAUUUUUAGAACGGCAGGAAUAAAAUCAAAUGUCAAACAAAUAUAUGAAAAGA